This 430-nucleotide ribosomal RNA is filed under the name Acidobacteriota bacterium. RNAcentral's name for it is "Acidobacteria bacterium partial 16S ribosomal RNA". It matches the Rfam family "Bacterial small subunit ribosomal RNA", at positions 355 to 776 of the family's 1533-position model. The record is from RNAcentral. Lineage: Bacteria; Pseudomonadati; Acidobacteriota.
UGGGGAAUAUUGGACAAUGGGCGCAAGCCUGAUCCAGCCAUGCCGCGUGUGUGAAGAAGGCCUUUUGGUUGUAAAGCACUUUAAGCGAGGAGGAGGCUACUUGGAUUAAUACUCUAGGAUAGUGGACGUUACUCGCAGAAUAAGCACCGGCUAACUCUGUGCCAGCAGCCGCGGUAAUACAGAGGGUGCGAGCGUUAAUCGGAUUUACUGGGCGUAAAGCGUGCGUAGGCGGCUUCUUAAGUCGGAUGUGAAAUCCCUGAGCUUAACUUAGGAAUUGCAUUCGAUACUGGGAAGCUAGAGUAUGGGAGAGGAUGGUAGAAUUCCAGGUGUAGCGGUGAAAUGUGUAGAGAUCUGGAGGAAUACCAAUGGCGAAGGCAGCCAUCUGGCCUAAUACUGACGCUGAGGUACGAAAGCAUGGGGAGCAAACAGG